Molecule: transfer RNA, 72 nt
Filed under: Camelus bactrianus (Bactrian camel)
Lineage: Eukaryota; Metazoa; Chordata; Mammalia; Artiodactyla; Camelidae
Also listed under: 2 other names
Rfam family: tRNA
About the family: Transfer RNA (tRNA) molecules are approximately 80 nucleotides in length. Their secondary structure includes four short double-helical elements and three loops (D, anti-codon, and T loops). Further hydrogen bonds mediate the characteristic L-shaped molecular structure. tRNAs have two regions of fundamental functional importance: the anti-codon, which is responsible for specific mRNA codon recognition, and the 3' end, to which the tRNAs corresponding amino acid is attached (by aminoacyl-tRNA synthetases). tRNAs cope with the degeneracy of the genetic code in two manners: having more than one tRNA (with a specific anti-codon) for a particular amino acid; and 'wobble' base-pairing, i.e. permitting non-standard base-pairing at the 3rd anti-codon position.
Source: Rfam by way of RNAcentral
GAGGGUGUAGCUCAGUGGGAGAGUGCUUGCUUAGCAUGCACGAGGUCCUGGGUUCAGUCCCCAGCACCUCCG